UUCUUCUUCUUCUUCUUCUUCUUCUUCUUCUUCUUCUUCUUCUUCUUCUUCUUCUUCUUCUUCUUCUUCUUCUUCUUCUUCUUCUUCUUCUUCUUCUUCUUGUUCUUCUUCUUCUUCUUCUCUCGCAUAAACACUCUCACGACACUUCCCAUUUAUCUGGUGACCCUUUUUAGGGGCCUCACCCCCCAGGUUGGGAACCGCUGGAUUGUAUUUGUUGACUGUGUACAAACUUCAAUGAUGAAUAUUAAUAUUAUAUGAUCUCACUUUGAACAUUUAAGCACAUUUUGCUACAUCACUUAUUACCACGUUCAUCUAAGCAGGUUCAUGGAGUAUUUUUACAUUCUGACUUCAGUCAAUGAUCUGAAUUCUCCACCAAUCACAAACGCCGCCUCCUUUCGUGGUUGUGGUUAAACGCGUGAGCUGGUAUCCACGCGCCACGAGAGGAUCCUUUCUGACUGAUCUAUUUCGGGUCCUUCGGCCUGAAGCGGAGCAGCUGCACUUAUUAUGUGCAAUGCAACGCGGAUCCAACAGGCCGGCGCGGCGCGUGCGAUUAGGGCCCGUAAUCAUUACGAAAUGCUAUUAUUCAGCAAACGCGCCGCCCGGAGUCGACCUCGCGGCAUCCCGUCCCUCACACGUGUUACAGGAAGUGUCUCGUCCAGGUGAUGGCCGCCAGAGGACCACUUCCUGCCCCCCCCCACCCAAAAAACAACAAGGUUCAGCUGAAAUGAAGUGCUGUUGUUGCCCCGUUGGAAUGCCUGUGUUGUGUCUUUGUUAUUGUUUAUUCAGUUGUUCCACAUGGUUCCACCAUGAAAUCAGCAGCAUCAGAUUGAGACUGAAAAGCUGUGUGUGUGUGUGUGUGUGUGUGCGUGUGUGUGUGUGUGUGUGUGCGUGCACACUCUGGGAUCCAGCUGCGUUGCACACUGCAGAUGUUCUCAGAUGAACCAGUUUGUUAAUUCAACUUCGACUCUCUCGUACACAUUUACAUAACGUCAGAACGCCUUUAUAUAUAUAUAUAUAUAUAUGGGGAGGGAGGGGCUUAAGUUUAUUGGAAUUUAGAACCAUGACCUUCUGUACAAAAUAUGGUGCAACCUGAACUGAAGAGUGAAGUUGAGGCUUCAUGAGUGAAAGCUGCGUUCUCUGCAGUGACCAGCAGGGGGCGACUCCUCUGGUCACAGAGAAUCAGACGGAAGACACGGAGGCAAAGCUAAUGACAGAUGACGGACAAAUGCCAAAUUCAUGACCAGGCAUGCAGCGAGCUUAAGGUCAUGACGUGCAGUGUGUGUGAGUGUGUGUGUGUGUGUGUGUGUGUGUGUAGGUGGCAUGUGCCCUGCAUGCACACACACAUGUCUGCUCAGUAAUGUCAUUAAUAACCCUGGGUAUGAAGGCCUUCAGAGGAAUUGUCCAGAUGAUGCUUGAACGCCGUAUAUACGCGAAUGCCUGGAAGUGUGUGUGUGUGUUUGUGUGCGAGUGUGUGCGCGCUCUGCCGGGAUGGCACAACCCAUCAGCUUGUAUCCCUGGUGGUGGCAGAGCGGUUUUGGCAAAAGGUUCAGUCUCCUGAGUCUGGAAAACCAAGUGAGUGAGUGAGUAAGUAAAAGGAGUUAGUGAUUGGGUGAGUGAAGGAGUGAGAGAGUAAGAGAAUGAGUGAGAGAGUAAAGGAGUUAGUGAUUGGGUGAGUGAAGGAGUGAGAGAGUUAGUAAGAGAAUGAGUGAGUAAGUAAAGGAGUUAGUGAUUGGGUGAUGAGAGAGUGAGUAAGAGAAUGAGUGAAUAAGUAAAGGAGUUAGUGAUUGGGUGAGUGAAGGAGUGAGAGAGUAAGAGAAUGAGUGAGAGAGUAAAGGAGUUAGUGAUUGGGUGAGUGAAGGAGUGAGAGAGUUAGUAAGAGAAUGAGUGAGUAAAGGAGUUAGUGAUUGGGUGAGUGAAGGAGUGAGAGAGAGAGUAAGAGAAUGAGUGAGUAAAGGAGUUAGUGAUUGGGUGAGUGAAGGAGAGAGUAGGAGAAUGGGUGAGUGAUCUUUUGUGCUUUGUAUUUCUAUGUGAGAAAUGAUCUGCAGAGAACGAGAUCAUUUUGUGUCGUUAGCAGAGCAGCUGGUGGAUCGAUGGAAUGAAUCCAGGACAUCGUUAGAACCCAGAAGCCGACUUUGAUGUAUUUGUUACAUGAAUUGGUGUGUAAGUUCUGCCUAAAGACACAAAAUAAGUGAUCAGUAUUCUGCAGACAUCUGGUGCUCAUCAGCUCAUUUAAUCUACAUAUGUCCUUCAUUCAUUAAUAAUAGAAUAUGAAUUAUAUUUCUUAUUUGUAUAAUUUCUGGGGCUUAAUUGUUAGAUCUUUUUUCAACUCAUUUAACCAUUUAAAUUGUUUCAACAUCUUACAUAAAAGUCUUCUGUAUUUUUAAAAAUGUUUAUUCAUUUGUUAUAUUUUAUUAUUUUGCAGAGUCAACUUGCACCUUUGUCUUGUUUGUUCCACAUUCAAUAACUGAAGCCUUCUAUCAAAUAUCUCAUUCAAAAUACAUUUAUCUUAAUUCGGACUUUAAAUAAAACCCAUUCGAACACCCAACGUUUAAGAUGCAGAUGAGGAUGCACGAGCUUACUGCAGGUCUCGGGCUGAAAGGUGGAGAUGCUGCCAGGUGACCGUUGGGACAGCGAGACGACACCUGGUGGACGGAUGAGGAAGGACAUAAUAUAUAUACCUAUAUAAUUUAUGUACAUGAAGGUAUUGUGCUCUUAAACAAACCUCUGCACUAUUGAUCGCGCGGAGAGGAACGUCAUUGUGACGUCACAGCUGAACGCGGUUCUCCGGUCAGCUCCGUUCUACCUCGUCCCAUGAGGCAAACUGGAUUAGGAUAAACUAAUACUGAUUCCCGUUCAGUGCUUAAAGGUCUCCGCAUGACGUUUAAUGCAAUUAUGGCACAAAGACAAACCCCCCCGAACAUAAUUGAGUUUUACUACAAAGAAGAAAAGAGGCUUUUAAUGUGGAUUGCACGUUGCAUUUAGCGCCAAUAAGAAGCUUUGUUUGUUAAAGGGUGAGUUCACUCAAAUUAUGAACACAUGUGUAUCUAUAUGUGUAUCUAUUGCCUCGGUAUUAUUCAGCCAUGUGCAGUGUUUUUAUUUUAGUUGUUCUUUGAACUAUUCUUAUUCCCACAUUUCCCAGUAUUUGUACUUCAUUGAUGCUUUAAAACGUUUCUCUUCUGCAGGAUU
Gasterosteus aculeatus aculeatus (three-spined stickleback) is the source of this 3186-nucleotide long non-coding RNA. Lineage: Eukaryota; Metazoa; Chordata; Actinopteri; Perciformes; Gasterosteidae. The record is from Ensembl.